RNAcentral lists this ribosomal RNA (253 nucleotides) under uncultured bacterium. RNAcentral's name for it is "partial 16S ribosomal RNA". It matches the Rfam family "Bacterial small subunit ribosomal RNA", at positions 524 to 776 of the family's 1533-position model. The record is from RNAcentral.
UACAGAGGGUGCAAGCGUUGUUCGUAAUUAUUGGGCGUAAAGCGCGUGUAGGCGGCUUUGCAAGUCGGGUGUGAAAGCCCUCAGCUUAACUGAGGAAGUGCGCCCGAAACUGCAGAGCUUGAAUACCGGAGAGGAUGGCGGAAUUCCCCAAGUAGAGGUGAAAUUCGUAGAUAUCUGGAGGAACACCAGUGGCGAAGGCGGGUCUCUGGACAGUUCCUGACACUGAGGCACGAAGGCCAGGGGAGCAAACGGG